CCCUUAGAUGUUCUGGGCUGCACGCGCGCUACACUGAAGCGUUCAACGAGUAUUCACCUUGCCCGGGAGGGUUGGGUAAUCUUUUGAAAACGCUUCGUGACGGGGAUAGAUUAUUGCAAUUAUUAAUCUUCAACGAGGAAUGCCUAGUAGGCGCAAGUCAUCAGCUUGCGUCGAUUACGUCCCUGCCCUUUGUACACACCGCCCGUCGCUCCUACCGAUUGGGUGUGCUGGUGAAAUGUUCGGAUCGGCCGUUUGUCGCGGUUUCCGCGUCAUGUGGCUGAGAAGUUCAUUAAACCCUCCCACCUAGAGGAAGGAGAAGUCGUAACA
Molecule: ribosomal RNA, 327 nt
Filed under: uncultured eukaryote
Lineage: Eukaryota
Description: partial 18S ribosomal RNA
Rfam family: Eukaryotic small subunit ribosomal RNA
Source: RNAcentral